Molecule: ribosomal RNA, 119 nt
Filed under: Pteropus alecto (black flying fox)
Lineage: Eukaryota; Metazoa; Chordata; Mammalia; Chiroptera; Pteropodidae
Source: RNAcentral
GUUUAUAGCCAUGCCACCCUGAACAAGCCCGAUCCCAUCUGAUCUUGGAAGCUAAGCAGGGUCGGGCCUGGUUAGUACUUGGAUGGGAGACCACCUAGGAAGACCAGGUGCUGUAGGGA